UUUAAACAAAAGGUUGUACAUAUUUUAAAAGGCAAGCUAGAGCUAUUUCUAUUUUUGAACUAAUUUAAAACUAACUAUCACAACCACGCCAUGGGAAUUGUACCCGUAGUUGUAAUAAUUUUAAUUGCGCGCCCAAAAGCAAACUACGGUGUUCAAAUUAUUUCCUAAAACUAUUUUGAGAUUAUUGUGAAGCCAUGAAUCAUGGAACUAUUAUAAAAAAUGUGACAUAAUCACUUAGCCGAUGGUCCAAGAAAUGGAGAAAGUUGGUAAUUGUUUAACAACUAAAGUAAGGAAGCUUGGUAUUCACGAAGAAAUGAGCCAACUAUAGUUUUUAUUGACUUGUCAUCCAAAUAAAGUGAUACAACAAAAAAUGAACAAACAUUUUUAUGAGGAACCCAACAGAAUGCCAUGUUCUUGAUUUAUUUAGUAGUAUUCAAGUUCUGAUUUUCAUAGAAAACAUACAAACAAGGAUUGUUAUAUGGUGAGUAAAAUAACAGAAAGAUUGUUCAAUUCAAGGUCAUUUUCUUUUGUCUUCAAACAACUAUUUGCGGAUCACAAAAUGCAAAGUUUUAAUAGUAAAGGGCAAAUGAUGCAAUAAGUUCUGAAGAGUUUUAUACCAUACAACACAUCAAAGGGAUAAAAAUGUAAAUCGAGCAUAAAACCUUAUGUUCGCAACAUAAAGCUGUACAUUACUAAUUUGACAACUCCUAAUGGCACAUCACAUUAACCAAAUGGACCAUAAGUUAACAACGAACUCUUUAGCUCUAAAGAAAUUUCAUUCAACUACUUUUUUAGCAAAUAAAAGCAGUGAUGUUUACCAAAUAACCCUCAUUCCCUUCAGAUCUUCAAUUCCUUCUUAGUAAGAAAAAGAUUAGUUAUUCUAAUGUUAAAGAUAGGCAAGUGACGAUACAUAUUAUAAUUCUUAAAGAUCUAUGCUAAAACUCAACUAAGGAAGUAACUCUUCAAUGCAAAAGGUUUUGAAAUGCUAUUGAAACUCUUUAACAAACACAGCGAAGAAGGCGUAACAUGCUGAAAUUAAGCAACAGAAUACUUCAAAUACUAAGACAUAUGAUUGUUACAGUGCUAUAGCAAUGUGAGGUCCAAUCAAAUUUAUGCUCACUCAAGCAUUAGUGUAACUUAAUAGAAGAAGUUGAAAAAUGACAUUCCAAAUAAAAUAAGCCAACUGAAAAGGAUCUAGUAAACCUCCAACAACGGUUACUAAUUUUCAUUCAACAGGUUCAUAACUUCAAAAUAGGUCAUGUGAAAUUAAACAAAACUACAGGGAUUCCAUGUGUACUUAAUUGAGAGCAUGAAACAAGUGAUUCACAUAAACAUCCCAUUUUUGAGUUACUUAAUUGUUUCAGUCAAAUGGAGGCUAAAUACACGUUUGGUAAACAAAAGAAUCAGCACUAGUCAUACUUGAACAAAUAAGUGGAAAAGAAAACUAAAUAGGAAUCCAACAAUUUUCAUUCAUAAUUGAAAUCAUAAUACGGAAAGGGUUCGAGCUAACCUGAUAGAACAAAUAAAAGCUAGAAUGAACCGACUAAGAAAAUAGAAGCAAACUCGCAAGAAAGCUCAGCAAUUCCAGGAAAAAGCAGCAAAAUCAGUGGAAAUCAAACGGCAAAUCCACAAGUUUUAGAACCAGAAAUCACCUCAAUCCAACUUCAUUCUUAAGAACCCAGAAUCAAACAAAAUGCUGAAAAAUAACGUUUUUUUUGUGCUUUCCUGAUUUCUUUUGAAAUGAAACUCGAACGAGGAAAUAAACUCAAACCAUUUUUUUGUUUUCAAACAAAGGGUGUCGACUCAGAGAAUUGAAAGUCUCAGAAGAAGAAAAACUUCGUAAUCCUAGAAAUUUACUACUAAAUUUUUCUGAAGAUCUCAUCCCAAUUUUUUCUAGCACAUAAGACUUACCUCAUAUAUAUAGCCUUCAAAAACUUUCAAAAAUCUGCCCAAAUCCUAAAAAAUCUUCAGGUUUUUGAACAAUUUUGGGACAAAUAGAGGGCGUGGAUUGAUUCACAUCUAUCCAUUGCUCCCAUUCAUCCAACAAUUGUCCUGUUGGUACAAAAAUCCGUGAUUUUGAGGGAAUAUUCGUACUCCUCUCUAACAAAUCCAUUGGGAAAUAGAGAUGACGUGGAGAGGAGGGGACCAAUAAGUGAACUUGGGUGAAACUUAGGCGAGUUGAGGUGAGUUCGAAGGUGAGGAAGAUGAAGGAAUAGUGCCCAGCGCCAUUUUCUG
Molecule: long non-coding RNA, 2235 nt
Filed under: Nicotiana tabacum (common tobacco)
Lineage: Eukaryota; Viridiplantae; Streptophyta; Magnoliopsida; Solanales; Solanaceae
Description: long non-coding RNA (NTAB_LNC003324)
Source: RNAcentral